This 150-nucleotide ribosomal RNA is filed under the name uncultured ammonia-oxidizing bacterium. RNAcentral describes it as "partial 16S ribosomal RNA". It matches the Rfam family "Bacterial small subunit ribosomal RNA", at positions 335 to 478 of the family's 1533-position model. The record is from RNAcentral.
ACUCGUACGCGAGGCAGCAGUGGGGAAUUAUGGACAAUGGGCGCAAGCCUGAUCCAGCCAUUCCGCGUGAGUGAAGAAGGCCUUCGGGUUGUAAAGCUCUUUCGCAAGGAAGAAAACUUACCCAAUAACACUGGGUGAGGCUGACGGUAC